This 225-nucleotide ribosomal RNA is filed under the name uncultured bacterium. Its description in RNAcentral is "partial 16S ribosomal RNA". It matches the Rfam family "Bacterial small subunit ribosomal RNA", at positions 28 to 250 of the family's 1533-position model. The record is from RNAcentral.
GACGAACGCUGGCGGCGUGCUUAACACAUGCAAGUCGAGCGGUAAGGCCCUUUCGGGGGUACGACGAGCGGCGAACGGGUGAGUAACACGUGGGUGGACCUGCCCUCAGCUCUGGGAGUAAGCCUGGGAAACCGGGGUCUAAUACUGGAUAUGACUCCAUGACGCAUGUUGUGGGGUGGAAAGCCUUGUGCGGCUGAGGAUGGGCCCGCGGCCUAUCAGCUUGUU